GAUGAACGCUAGCUACAGGCUUAACACAUGCAAGUCGAGGGGCAGCAUUUUAGUUUGCUUGCAAACUAAAGAUGGCGACCGGCGCACGGGUGAGUAACACGUAUCCAACCUGCCGAUAACUCGGGGAUAGCCUUUCGAAAGAAAGAUUAAUAUCCGAUAGUAUAUUAAAACCGCAUGGUUUUACUAUUAAAGAAUUUCGGUUAUCGAUGGGGAUGCGUUCCAUUAGUUUGUUGGCGGGGUAACGGCCCACCAAGACUACGAUGGAUAGGGGUUCUGAGAGGAAGGUCCCCCACAUUGGAACUGAGACACGGUCCAA
RNAcentral lists this ribosomal RNA (316 nucleotides) under uncultured bacterium. Its description in RNAcentral is "bacterial SSU rRNA". It matches the Rfam family "Bacterial small subunit ribosomal RNA", at positions 28 to 334 of the family's 1533-position model. The record is from RNAcentral.